UCUUUCCAUUAUAGUAACAUAACUUUAAUCUGUGGCAAAUAGCAGCUGAGUUAGAGCAUAGUCUUAACAGGCCAAGAUGGCCGACGGCCUGAGGUGAGGGUGGGGGAGCUCCACUCGCUGCCAAAAGCAGGUGGUGUGCUAAAUGUGAUACUUUAUAGCAGCUAGAAGAGGAGUUAACAUUAGCAGUGGUGGCAGCAGGGGAAUAUUCUUUCAUUUUACUCCUGCGCAUUGCCAAACCUUCCUCAGCGCUAUACCUUUUCACCCAUUGUCAGGGACAGGGAGGAGAAAGUUCAGCCAGUUGCGAAAAGGCCAGCUGUUGUCCUAAGAAAAGGUCAUCCUAUCAUGGCCAUCAGCUUCAUCCCCAGCACCCCCACCCCUCGCUCUUCGACAGUGUGCCAACUGCAAGAGUCUCUUCCUGUCUUGCUUCUUCACUGAUGGUGUCACUGAUGGAUGGGUGGAUGACAAUGAGACUAUAAUGCCAGCAAUGUUACCACCUCUUCUGGCUCCUCUGGAGAGUCAUAAUUUUUUAAGAGCUCUGAGGGAGGUGCAACAAGUUAUUUUUGUUCCUGUCAGAAGCACUCCGGUGGUGCUUCUGCAGUGGAAUGGUCAGGCAACAGGGUGCUAUUGUUGCCCAGUGGAUGCCUGAAUGUAUUCACGGUCCUUACAUUCUUUGAGGAGGCUCCUUCCUUGUUGUGCCUCAUCAAUCCUCUCCACCCACUCCUUUUCUUCUUUCGCAAAUGCCACAAUAAAUGUUCUCCUUGGGGAAAAAGAACAAAGAUAUUAUUUUGUGCCAGUGGACUACAAAGAAGAAAAAGAAUGGUGUAACUGACUGUCUGAUCCAAGCGGGCAGAGUCUUCAGACAACUGUUUCCUUGACCGUUUUUCCAGGUAAGUACAGUUAAGGUCAUAGAAAGGAACACUAAGUUAUUUGAAAGGCAGGGGAGCUUAGGCUUGAUGUUAGCCCUAUUCAGGCAUUACUUAGGCAGGUAGAAUCAUCAUUUUCAGAAGAGAGGGCUGUCCCCUACCCUACCCCGUCAUGGCAUUCUCCAGCUGGGAUGCAAUGUGUUUGCAGAACAAAUAUUGUUGGUUAUGUGUAAGCUUUCCACAUGAGCAAGAAUCCCAGAAAAACUGGGGUUCUUGCUUGCACGCAGAGCCUGUGUGGAAGUAGAAAGUCUCCCCUGCAGAUAUGCCACUUGGGAAAGCAAUGGCAGUGGUGGAAGGGAGAAACAUUCUUGUCUAAUUAUGGUGAUCCAAUCCAUGCAACUAAUACCUGAAUAGGGCUUUUUUCCCACUUGAAUCCUAAGGCUGGCUGAACUUGAAGAUUCUCCUCGCUUAGACCUUCUGAGCAGCUGCAGAUAGUAAAGCUGAAAUGGCAACGGUGGCUGCUGCACUUCCCUUUCUCUCCUCCCUGGGUUUGUCCUGCAAAAGAGAAGGCAGUUUACAGUGCUUGGAAGCAGUGAUUUACGAGCCAUGUAGAAGUUCCUUGGGCAUAAUGAUGUUACAUUUCGAAAGCAACAUAACAAACAGGAGUUAGCUUAAUUUAUUGAUCUGAUGAAUAAUGUUUCCUUCUUACUUUUAUAGUUACUCUAC
Long non-coding RNA from Pogona vitticeps (central bearded dragon), 1589 nucleotides. The record is from Ensembl. Lineage: Eukaryota; Metazoa; Chordata; Lepidosauria; Squamata; Agamidae.